RNAcentral lists this long non-coding RNA (512 nucleotides) under Ananas comosus (pineapple). RNAcentral's name for it is "long non-coding RNA (ACOM_LNC035423)". The record is from RNAcentral. Lineage: Eukaryota; Viridiplantae; Streptophyta; Magnoliopsida; Poales; Bromeliaceae.
GCUUGGUUCUCUCGCUAAGGGGCUGUUUGGUUGCAUGUAGUUGCAGCUGCAUUGCAGUUGUAAACUAUAUGUAAAUGUAAAUUUCGUGUUUGGUUUAAUGUAUUUAACUCCAAAUAUUGCAAUAGGAACUGCAAGAGGAGACCCAACUGCAGCAAUUCGAACUACGCCCAAAUUGGUCGUAGUUCCAACUAUAGCAGUUGGAGAGAGUAACUUUAAAUAAAAGAUAUACUUACCUCCUCAAUAUUUUUAAAAUAAAAAUUAUUUUUCUUUUUUACAUUAGAGGUAAUCUCACCAUCAUAUAUAUAAAAUAAUAAAAUUUUAAAAAUUAUUUUUCAACUACAUGCAACCAAACAAAUUAUUUAUACUUGCAGCGCUUUCUACUACAUCCAACCAAAUAAGAUUCAUGUAGUCAUAGCUGCUGCAUUUUCAACUGCAUGCAUCUCUAACUACACUGCAUUUAUAAUUACAUCUAACCAAACGGCCCCUAAAACUCUUUUAAUUAGUCUAGAGAG